Pelobates cultripes (western spadefoot toad) is the source of this 285-nucleotide non-coding RNA. The record is from the annotation of a GenBank genome assembly. Lineage: Eukaryota; Metazoa; Chordata; Amphibia; Anura; Pelobatidae.
GGGUAUCGACCUAGCAGGCUGCCUUACAGUAGCAUCAGGAGAUAGGGGUUUUUGGAAUCACCAAUGGGUUAGUGACAGCCAGCGACUGUGUGACCGGAUAUUGGUAUUUAACAUACUCCUAUAACUUCUGUAAUUUAACGAUUUGGCAGUUAGUACUUUGAAGCAUUUGAUGCUUACGUAACAGCUACAAUAUACAAAAAGCUGGAUAGUCACUUGUGUGUAGUGAUUCUAACACUUCUGCCUAUUUUGGCGGUACUGCCCCUAAAUGCACCGUUUUUAGACAAG